UUUCCGUAGGUGAACCUGCGGAAGGAUCAUUCAUAAUAAAGUGUUUUAUGGCACUUUUUAAAAAUCCAUAUCCACCUUGUGUGCUAUGUUAGGUCUCGUCAAUCUUGGCGAGAUUUUUAUACAUCAACUCAUUCUUUAACUAAUUUGUCUGAAAAAUAUUAUGAAUACUUAAUUCAAAAUACAACUUUCAACAACGGAUCUCUUGGCUCUC
This 211-nucleotide unclassified non-coding RNA is filed under the name plant metagenome. RNAcentral's name for it is "partial contains small subunit ribosomal RNA, internal transcribed spacer 1, and 5.8S ribosomal RNA". The record is from RNAcentral.